RNAcentral lists this ribosomal RNA (468 nucleotides) under uncultured bacterium. RNAcentral's name for it is "partial 16S ribosomal RNA". It matches the Rfam family "Bacterial small subunit ribosomal RNA", at positions 28 to 507 of the family's 1533-position model. The record is from RNAcentral.
GACGAACGCUGGCGGCGUGCUUAACACAUGCAAGUCGAACGGAAAGGCCCUGCUUUUGUGGGGUGCUCGAGUGGCGAACGGGUGAGUAACACGUGAGUAACCUGCCCUUGACUUUGGGAUAACUUCAGGAAACUGGGGCUAAUACCGGAUAGGAGCUCCUGCUGCAUGGUGGGGGUUGGAAAGUUUGGGCGGUUGGGGAUGGACUCGCGGCUUAUCAGCUUGUUGGUGGGGUAGUGGCUUACCAAGGCUUUGACGGGUAGCCGGCCUGAGAGGGUGACCGGCCACAUUGGGACUGAGAUACGGCCCAGACUCCUACGGGAGGCAGCAGUGGGGAAUAUUGCACAAUGGGCGGAAGCCUGAUGCAGCAACGCCGCGUGCGGGAUGACGGCCUUCGGGUUGUAAACCGCUUUCGCCUGUGACGAAGCGUAAGUGACGGUAAUGGGUAAAGAAGCACCGGCUAACUACGUG